Molecule: non-coding RNA, 148 nt
Filed under: Homo sapiens (human)
Lineage: Eukaryota; Metazoa; Chordata; Mammalia; Primates; Hominidae
Source: Rfam by way of RNAcentral
GCCGGGCAUGGUGGUGCAUGCCUGUAAUCCCAGCUACUUGGGAGGCUGAGACAGGAGAAUUGCUUGAACCCAGGAGGCGGAGGUUGCAGUGAGCCGAGAUCAUGCCAUUGCACUCCAGCCUGGGUGACAGAGCGAGACUCCAUCUCAG